This 307-nucleotide long non-coding RNA is filed under the name Homo sapiens (human). Its description in RNAcentral is "non-protein coding lnc-SLITRK5-14:2". The record is from RNAcentral. Lineage: Eukaryota; Metazoa; Chordata; Mammalia; Primates; Hominidae.
AUUUCAAUUUCCUUUUUGCAUACAGUGAUUAGAAUGCUUAAAAUAUUACAAUUUAGCCUCCAUUAAAGCUAUAGUUUGGAAGAAUUUCUUUUUACUUAUUGAUUGUACUUGCAAGAGACUUUGAUUUGAGACUGAAUUGUCUUAAUAAAUAAAUGUAUAGGCUGGGCGCGGUGGCUCAUGCCUGUAAUCCCAGCACUUUGGGAGGCCGAGGCAGGUGGAUCACGAGGUCAGGAGUUUGAGACCAGCCUGACGAACAUGGUGAAAACCCAUCUCUAUUAAAAAUACAAAAAUUAGCCGGGCAUGGUGG